RNAcentral lists this ribosomal RNA (465 nucleotides) under Vreelandella stevensii. Its description in RNAcentral is "partial 16S ribosomal RNA". It matches the Rfam family "Bacterial small subunit ribosomal RNA", at positions 338 to 795 of the family's 1533-position model. Lineage: Bacteria; Pseudomonadati; Pseudomonadota; Gammaproteobacteria; Oceanospirillales; Halomonadaceae. The record is from RNAcentral.
CCUACGGGGGGCAGCAGUGGGGAAUAUUGGACAAUGGGGGCAACCCUGAUCCAGCCAUGCCGCGUGUGUGAAGAAGGCCCUCGGGUUGUAAAGCACUUUCAGUGAGGAAGAACGCCUGGUGGUUAAUACCCAUCAGGAAAGACAUCACUCACAGAAGAAGCACCGGCUAACUCCGUGCCAGCAGCCGCGGUAAUACGGAGGGUGCGAGCGUUAAUCGGAAUUACUGGGCGUAAAGCGCGCGUAGGUGGCUUGAUAAGCCGGUUGUGAAAGCCCCGGGCUCAACCUGGGAACGGCAUCCGGAACUGUCAAGCUAGAGUGCAGGAGAGGAAGGUAGAAUUCCCGGUGUAGCGGUGAAAUGCGUAGAGAUCGGGAGGAAUACCAGUGGCGAAGGCGGGCUUCUGGACUGACACUGACACUGAGGUGCGAAAGCGUGGGUAGCAAACAGGAUUAGAUACCCCAGUAGUC